Molecule: ribosomal RNA, 482 nt
Filed under: uncultured eukaryote
Lineage: Eukaryota
Description: partial 18S ribosomal RNA
Rfam family: Eukaryotic small subunit ribosomal RNA
Source: RNAcentral
UUUAUUUGAUCGUGCGGUACUACGUGGAUAACCGUAGGAAUUCUAGAGCUAAUACAUGCACCCAAAAUUUUAUUUGUUACACUACUUCUUUGUGUUUUCAUAUCAUAAGGAGAAGGAAACGGGGAUUUAUUAGAUCAAAAACCCAACGUACUUUAAGUACGAGGCGGGAGGAAUCAUAAUAACUUUUCGAAUCGCAAGGCUUUUAUAGUGGCCGGCGAUAUAUCAUUCAAAUUUUUGCCCUAUCAACUUUCGAUGGUAGGGUAGUGGCCUACCCUGGUGUUGACGGGUGACGGAGAAUUAGGGUUUGAUUCCGGAGAGGGAGCCUGAGAAAUGGCUACCACAUCCAAGGAAGGCAGCCGGCGCGCAAAAUACCCCAUCCUGAUUAAGGGAGGGAGCGACAAGAAAUAACGAUAAGAGGCUUUUUCAAGUGUUCUUAUUGGAAAAAGGGUAAUUUACACCCCUUCUCGAGAAUCCCUUGGAGG